Molecule: ribosomal RNA, 471 nt
Filed under: Bacillus sp. R-46146
Lineage: Bacteria; Bacillati; Bacillota; Bacilli; Caryophanales; Bacillaceae
Description: bacterial SSU rRNA
Rfam family: Bacterial small subunit ribosomal RNA
Source: RNAcentral
GGCUCAGGAUGAACGCUGGCGGCGUGCCUAAUACAUGCAAGUCGAGCGAAUGGAUUGAGAGCUUGCUCUCAAGAAGUUAGCGGCGGACGGGUGAGUAACACGUGGGUAACCUGCCCAUAAGACUGGGAUAACUCCGGGAAACCGGGGCUAAUACCGGAUAACAUUUUGAACUGCAUGGUUCGAAAUUGAAAGGCGGCUUCGGCUGUCACUUAUGGAUGGACCCGCGUCGCAUUAGCUAGUUGGUGAGGUAACGGCUCACCAAGGCAACGAUGCGUAGCCGACCUGAGAGGGUGAUCGGCCACACUGGGACUGAGACACGGCCCAGACUCCUACGGGAGGCAGCAGUAGGGAAUCUUCCGCAAUGGACGAAAGUCUGACGGAGCAACGCCGCGUGAGUGAUGAAGGCUUUCGGGUCGUAAAACUCUGUUGUUAGGGAAGAACAAGUGCUAGUUGAAUAAGCUGGCACCUGAC